This 365-nucleotide ribosomal RNA is filed under the name uncultured organism. RNAcentral's name for it is "bacterial SSU rRNA". It matches the Rfam family "Bacterial small subunit ribosomal RNA", at positions 527 to 896 of the family's 1533-position model. The record is from RNAcentral.
GGAGGGUCCAAGCGUUAUCCGGAAUCAUUGGGUUUAAAGGGUCCGUAGGCGGUUUUGUAAGUCAGUGGUGAAAGCCCAUCGCUCAACGGUGGAACGGCCAUUGAUACUGCAAGACUUGAAUUAUUAGGAAGUAACUAGAAUAUGUAGUGUAGCGGUGAAAUGCUUAGAGAUUACAUGGAAUACCAAUUGCGAAGGCAGGUUACUACUAAUAUAUUGACGCUGAUGGACGAAAGCGUGGGGAGCGAACAGGAUUAGAUACCCUGGUAGUCCACGCCGUAAACGAUGGAUACUAGCUGUUCGGAGCAAUCUGAGUGGCUAAGCGAAAGUGAUAAGUAUCCCACCUGGGGAGUACGUUCGCAAGAAUG